Molecule: ribosomal RNA, 446 nt
Filed under: Stenotrophomonas sp.
Lineage: Bacteria; Pseudomonadati; Pseudomonadota; Gammaproteobacteria; Lysobacterales; Lysobacteraceae
Description: bacterial SSU rRNA
Rfam family: Bacterial small subunit ribosomal RNA
Source: RNAcentral
AGUCGAGCGAACAGAUAAGGAGCUUGCUCCUUUGACGUUAGCGGCGGACGGGUGAGUAACACGUGGAUAACCUACCUAUAAGACUGGGAUAACUUCGGGAAACCGGAGCUAAUACCGGAUAACAUAUUGAACCGCAUGGUUCAAUAGUGAAAGGCGGCUUUGCUGUCACUUAUAGAUGGAUCCGCGCCGUAUUAGCUAGUUGGUAAGGUAACGGCUUACCAAGGCAACGAUACGUAGCCGACCUGAGAGGGUGAUCGGCCACACUGGAACUGAGACACGGUCCAGACUCCUACGGGAGGCAGCAGUAGGGAAUCUUCCGCAAUGGGCGAAAGCCUGACGGAGCAACGCCGCGUGAGUGAUGAAGGUCUUCGGAUCGUAAAACUCUGUUAUCAGGGAAGAACAAAUGUGUAAGUAACUGUGCACAUCUUGACGGUACCUGAUCAGAA